Molecule: ribosomal RNA, 460 nt
Filed under: uncultured bacterium
Lineage: Bacteria
Description: partial 16S ribosomal RNA
Rfam family: Bacterial small subunit ribosomal RNA
Source: RNAcentral
CCUACGGGUGGCAGCAGUGAGGAAUAUUGGUCAAUGGGCGCUAGCCUGAACCAGCCAAGCAGCGUGAAGGAUGAAUGCCCUAUGGGUUGUAAACUUCUUUUAUAUGGGAAUAAAGUGCAGUAUGUAUACCGCUUCGCAUGUACCUUAUGAAUAAGGAUCGGCUAACUCCGUGCCAGCAGCCGCGGUAAUACGGAGGAUCCGAGCGUUAUCCGGAUUUAUUGGGUUUAAAGGGAGCGUAGGCGGGUUGUUAAGUCAGGUGUGAAAGUAUGUGGCUCAACCGUAGAAUUGCAGUUGAUACUGGCAUCCUUGAGUACAGUAGAGGUAGGCGGAAUUCGGGGUGUAGCGGUGAAAUGCUUAGAUAUCACGAAGAACUCCGAUUGCGAAGGCAGCCUGCUGGACGGUAACUGACGCUGAGGUUCGAAAGUGUGGGUAUCAAACAGGAUUAGAUACCCCUGUAGUC